AUGGUUAAGCUAAUAAGAGCGCAGGGUGGAUGCCUUGGCACUAAGAGCCGAAGAAAGACGUGAUAAGCUGCGAAAAGCUGCGGGGAGGAGCAAAUGUCCAUUGAUCCGCAGAUGUCUGAAUGGGGAAACCCGUCUGGAAGAACUCCAGUCACUGCAUGUUGAAUACAUAGGCAUGCAGGGGGAACCCGGUGAACUGAAACAUCUAAGUAGCCGGAGGAAAAGAAAGAAAAAUCGAUUUCCAAAGUAGCGGCGAGCGAAAUGGAAGGAGCCCAAACCGGGAUGCGUGCAUUCCGGGGUUAUGGACCGCAAGAAGUGACCCGUAAGAUAGAAGAAUGGCAUUGGGAAAGCCAGCCACAGAGGGUGAAAGCCCCGUAUUCGAAAUCAGAAGGGAGCGAGCGGAAUCCGAAGUACUACGAGACACGUGGAACCUUGUAGGAAAUCGGGGGGACCACCCCCCAAGGCUAAAUACUCCUUAGUGACCGAUAGCGCAUAGUACUGUGAAGGAACGGUGAAAAGAACCCCGGGAGGGGAGUGAAAGAGAACCUGAAACCCUGUGUUUAAAGCACCAAAGGUGUGGAGCCGAAGGGAAACCAAGUCUUAACAGGGCGAGUUAGUCAGUGUGAGUAGACCCGAAACCGGGUGACCUACCCAUGUCCAGGAUGAAGUUGCCGUAAAAGGCAAUGGAGGUCCGAACACACAUCCGUUGAAAAGGGUGGUGAUGAGGUGUGGGUAGCGGAGAAAUUCCAAUCGAACCCGGAGAUAGCUGGUUCUCCUCGAAAUAGCUUUAGGGCUAGCCUCAAUUUAGUCUUGCGGAGGUAGAGCACUGAAUAUCCUAGGGGGCGUCAAAGCUUACCGAAGAUUAUCAAACUCCGAAUGCCGUAAAGAUGAUGAUUGGGAGUCAGACUGCACGAGAUAAGUUGGGUAGUCAAAAGGGAAACAGCCCAGACCUCCAGCUAAGGUCCCAAAGUGAGUGUUAAGUGGAAAAGGAUGUGGGAUUUCGAAGACAACUAGGAUGUUGGCUCAGAAGCAGCCAUUCAUUCAAAGAGUGCGUAAUAGCUCACUAGUCGAGCACCGAAGCUGAGGAAUGACAAUGUCAUUGGUAGAGGAGCAUUCUUAACUGCGACGAAGCUGUACCGAAAGGAGCAGUGGAGUGUUAAGAAGAGAGAAUGCCGGAAUGAGUAGCGAGAGUGAGGUGAGAAUCCUCACGGCCGAAUAUCUAAGGUUUCCAGGGUAAAGCUGAUCUGCCCUGGGUAAGUCGGGACCUAAGGCGAGGCCGAGAGGCGUAGCCGAUGGACAACAGGUUGAGAUUCCUGUACUGCGAUAUGACAGAACUGUGGGGACGCAUGUGGAGAGCACGAGCCGGGAAUGGAAAUACCGGUACAAGCGGAGAAGGAGUCUGGUUGGCAAAUCCGCCAGGCAAUCCGAAGACGUGAUGUGGAGCGAAUUAAAGUAGCGAAGCGUGUGAGCCAUGUGCCGAGAAAAGCCGCUAUUGUUUCAUGUGUGCCCGUACCGUAAACCGACACAGGUGGAUGAGGAGAGAAUCCUAAGGCCGACGGAAGAAGCAUUGUUAAGGAACUCGGCAAAAUGGCCCCGUAACUUCGG
RNAcentral lists this ribosomal RNA (1602 nucleotides) under Clostridiales bacterium 42_27. RNAcentral's name for it is "bacterial LSU rRNA". It matches the Rfam family "Bacterial large subunit ribosomal RNA", at positions 1 to 1739 of the family's 2925-position model. The record is from RNAcentral. Lineage: Bacteria; Bacillati; Bacillota; Clostridia; Eubacteriales.